Molecule: ribosomal RNA, 253 nt
Filed under: uncultured bacterium
Lineage: Bacteria
Description: partial 16S ribosomal RNA
Rfam family: Bacterial small subunit ribosomal RNA
Source: RNAcentral
UACGUAGGGUGCAAGCGUUGUCCGGAAUUAUUGGGCGUAAAGAGCUCGUAGGUGGUUUGUCGCGUUGUUCGUGAAAUCUCACGGCUUAACUGUGAGCGUGCGGGCGAUACGGGCAGACUAGAGUACUGCAGGGGAGACUGGAAUUCCUGGUGUAGCGGUGGAAUGCGCAGAUAUCAGGAGGAACACCGGUGGCGAAGGCGGGUCUCUGGGCAGUAACUGACGCUGAGGAGCGAAAGCGUGGGGAGCGAACAGG